This 253-nucleotide ribosomal RNA is filed under the name uncultured bacterium. RNAcentral's name for it is "partial 16S ribosomal RNA". It matches the Rfam family "Bacterial small subunit ribosomal RNA", at positions 524 to 776 of the family's 1533-position model. The record is from RNAcentral.
UACGUAGGGCGCAAGCGUUGUCCGGAAUUAUUGGGCGUAAAGAGCUCGUAGGCGGUUUGUCGCGUCUGCUGUGAAAACGCGAGGCUUAACCUCGCGCCUGCGGUGGGUACGGGCAGACUAGAGUUCGGUAGGGGAGACUGGAAUUCCUGGUGUAGCGGUGGAAUGCGCAGAUAUCAGGAGGAACACCGGUGGCGAAGGCGGGUCUCUGGGCCGUUACUGACGCUGAGGAGCGAAAGCAUGGGGAGCGAACAGG